Molecule: ribosomal RNA, 484 nt
Filed under: uncultured bacterium
Lineage: Bacteria
Description: partial 16S ribosomal RNA
Rfam family: Bacterial small subunit ribosomal RNA
Source: RNAcentral
AUUGAACGCUGGCGGCAUGCUUUACACAUGCAAGUCGAACGGCAGCGCGGGCUUCGGCCUGGCGGCGAGUGGCGAACGGGUGAGUAAUACAUCGGAACGUGCCCAGUAGUGGGGGAUAGCUCGGCGAAAGCCGGAUUAAUACCGCAUACGACCUGAGGGUGAAAGCGGGGGAUCUUCGGACCUCGCGCUAUUGGAGCGGCCGAUGGCAGAUUAGCUAGUUGGUGGGGUAAAGGCCUACCAAGGCGACGAUCUGUAGCUGGUCUGAGAGGACGACCAGCCACACUGGGACUGAGACACGGCCCAGACUCCUACGGGAGGCAGCAGUGGGGAACUUUGGACAAUGGGCGAAAGCCUGAUCCAGCAAUGCCGCGUGUGUGAUGAAGGCCUUCGGGUUGUAAAGCACUUUUGGCGGGAACGAAAAGGACUGUGCCAAUACCACGGUGCGAUGACGGUACCAGCAGAAUAAGCACCGGCUAACUACGUG